Labrus bergylta (ballan wrasse) is the source of this 2587-nucleotide non-coding RNA. The record is from RefSeq and is a predicted model, not a curated record. Lineage: Eukaryota; Metazoa; Chordata; Actinopteri; Labriformes; Labridae.
UUUUUCAGCCUAUGCAUGUUUCAAUAAGAGUAAUCUCCCCUCAUGGGAUUAAUAAAGUUUGUCAAAUUUAAAAGAAGAAGUUUCUAGUAGUUGUCUUUUGUCAGCUUAAGUGUUUUUUCUUUUCUCUUACAGACUGUUUGCCUCAAACCAAACUCUGUCUGAACAGUCUGUCCACAUCCUUUUAGAGAGAGGUCUGACUGCAGUCCAAGGAGGGUUCCUGUUCUCCAGAGACGUGCGGCACGGCUAUACAAACGUAGUGCAUCCCACUUUGGAGCAGAGUUUGCAGAUGCAGUCGCGGAUAAAGGCCUCGGUUCUCGUAGUUUUAGCAGAUAAAGGUUUGCCCACUUUUCAUGAUUCAAAGCAGCAGGAAAAAAUCUCCAUCCUUCUCCAGAGAUAUCGUGACAGAAAUCACUCAGUGGUAACAGUUCCAGGAGAUCAUCACGUCCAUCUGAAUAAUCCUGAAGUUGUCGCACCGCUUAUUUCCGACUUUCUGCAGACUGAAGUGAUCCCUCAGCAUCUGUCAGAAGUGUGACACACACACACACACACACACACACACACACACUAACACACACAUACACACACAGGCACACACACUAACUCACACACACACUAAAUAACACUCUUUAAGUCUUGUCAAAUUGUCCUCCUCCCUCUCAGUGCAUUUAUGCAAACUGAUGAAUUACUUUUUGAAGAAAUCUGAGAAUUCUCUUCAGUGCCUUUGAGUAGUCACACCUUAAUGUUCAAACAGCAACACUAUUCAUUUUAUGUGUGUGUUUUCUUCAUUCAGCCAUGGUUUCAGAAGUCCUCAUUGCUACUAUCAGAGUGUUUUUGUAUUCGAGGCUGAUCUGUUUGACUCGGCUGCUUUUUAUGAAUCUGAUUCUAAAAUUGUCAAUCGUUAAAAAAAGAUCACCCUCUGACAACUUCUCAGUAUGUUGGACCGUCCUCUUUGUGUUCACCCUGUUUUCUUACUCUAAGAACCAGGACGAUUAAAAGUAUUCUUUUUUUUACCACCCUUUAACUGAUGGGACUGACUCCAUAAAGACUGAAGCCGCCACAACUCACAGCAGAUAUGAGAGGUGCCACUCACACAAAAAUACCCUCUCGUUCUCUCCCAUUCUCUCUCUCAAUGUCACAUAAACGGUGUGACGGCCUCGGUGUUAAAUGGAGUGGAAUUGAUUUUACGCAGCGAGCAGAAAGGCGGCAAGCAUCCAGAGACAUCUGAAGGGCUUGCCCCCCCUCCUACUCCUCCAAAAAAGAAAAAAGAUUAUAGUUAUAUAAGUUUCCCUCCCUCCCACUCCCUCCAUCCUCUCAGCCAGCAGCAGGGAUGUUGCCAUAGUAACCCCCCACCCCUCGGUUUUUUAAACGUCAGAGCGAGGAGCUGGAGGAUGAAGCCGCAUGCAGCUUCUGUCUCUCGUGCCUCUCAGAGAGCACCUGUGAUUUUGGACGUCUCGCGUUCAACAGUCGGAGCCACGGCGCUGUGGGAAAUCUGAUGAUUGAUUCGAGUCUCGGGCUGCUGCACAUCACGUACCAUCAAACACAGAAAGACUUACUGAUUCUGCAGCACUGAAAGCAGCGAUGUCGUGGCUGUUCCUGGACUGGUUCGUCCCCCUCUACCUGCUGGUGUCGGUGUUGGUUCUGGCUGGAUUCGGAGCGUGUCUGUACUUCUUGGAGCCUGGGCUGCAGGAAGCCCACAAGUGGAGCAACAAAACAGUCCGGCAUCACCCGCUGGUGGCCAGCGUGAACUGCAGAGAUGACGAUAGCAACGCUCUGAUAUGAUCAAGAAGGGCGAGGUGGAGCGGGGCGCGCCAUCUGGGCAGGGGUGCUGCCAGGACACCAGAGGGGAGAGGACGGGAGCCAACACCUUCAAGAUGGAGACAGGAAAUGGCAGAGGAAGAUGGAGGGGAGAGAAAUCUGAUAAAUGGAGCCCAUCAGUCUCAUCAUAACUUUUCUCUGAUCUCUAUCACACUUUCCGCUGUAGGGAUCAGGGGAAAGUGGUGUAGAAGAAUGUCUACAAAGAAGCCAAACGCACAGGGAGGAGAAGAGUACUCACACAGAUGAUGGAGGACAUGUUGCCCUUUAGAAAGCGUCUAAAACAUGAUGUAAAUUUCACCACCAUCUUAUACUCGUGCCAACUUUUACAUACGUUUUUGUAAAUCGACAAUCACUUUCCAUGUAUCAUGCAGUUUACUCAUAGUGUGCGUUUCUUUAGUGCAGUGGGUGACAUCAGUGCAAUGUGUUUGCUGUCAUCAGGAAGUGUUUUUUUAAUCCUCCUUCUGUCGGCUCGGCAGCUGCAGAGAAGCAUGUGGACUGUUUGUGCCAAUGUGCCAAAAAAAAAGGGUUUAGUAAUGACUUUAUAAAAAAAAAACAUGUACUGAAUAAAUUCAAGUGAUUCAUUCAAGGUGCCAAGGUAAACUAGAUGGACCUAGAAAACAGAAAAGUAUUUGGAAAACGCUUACAGUGUAUAUAUUUUGAGUUUUCAUCGUUUUUACUUGACAGCAUGGGGAAGAAACUGGGUGCGUGACGACCCUCUUUUGAUGAUCAUAUGCUUCCUUAGUUCAUACAAAUAAAAAUGUUUACCCGUCAA